This 492-nucleotide ribosomal RNA is filed under the name uncultured bacterium. Its description in RNAcentral is "partial 16S ribosomal RNA". It matches the Rfam family "Bacterial small subunit ribosomal RNA", at positions 29 to 507 of the family's 1533-position model. The record is from RNAcentral.
AGUGAACGCUGGCGGUAGGCCUAACACAUGCAAGUCGAACGGCAGCACAGUAAAAGCUUGCUCUUACGGGUGGCGAGUGGCGGGCGGGUGAGGAGUACAUCGAACUCUACUUUUUCGUGGGGGAUCACGUAGGGAAACUUACUCUAAUACCGCAUACGCCCUACGGGUGAGAGCAGGGGAUCUUCGCCCCUUGCGCUAUUAAGUGAGCAGAUGUCGGAUUCGCUAGUUUGGGGGGUAAAGGCCCACCCAGGCGACGCUCCGUAGCUUGUUUGAGAGGAUGAACCGCCACACUGGAAAUGAGAAACGGGCCCGACUCCUUAGGGAGGGAGCAGUGGGGAAUAUUGGACAAUGGGGGCAAGCCUGAUCCAGCCAUACCGCGGUGUUGAAGAAGGGCUUCGGGUUGGAAAACCCUUUUGUUGGGAAAGAAAAGCAGUAGGUUAAUACCCCGCUGUUAUGACGGUACCCAAAGAAUAAGCACCGGCUAACUUCGUG